RNAcentral lists this ribosomal RNA (1569 nucleotides) under Klebsiella variicola. Its description in RNAcentral is "partial 23S ribosomal RNA". It matches the Rfam family "Bacterial large subunit ribosomal RNA", at positions 1271 to 2822 of the family's 2925-position model. RNAcentral also lists the same sequence under 1 other name. The record is from RNAcentral. Lineage: Bacteria; Pseudomonadati; Pseudomonadota; Gammaproteobacteria; Enterobacterales; Enterobacteriaceae.
UGCUGGAGGUAUCAGAAGUGCGAAUGCUGACAUAAGUAACGAUAAAGCGGGUGAAAAGCCCGCUCGCCGGAAGACCAAGGGUUCCUGUCCAACGUUAAUCGGGGCAGGGUGAGUCGACCCCUAAGGCGAGGCCGAAAGGCGUAGUCGAUGGGAAACAGGUUAAUAUUCCUGUACUUGGUGUUACUGCGAAGGGGGGACGGAGAAGGCUAUGUUAGCCGGGCGACGGUUGUCCCGGUUUAAGCAUGUAGGCGGAGGUUCCAGGUAAAUCCGGUACCUUUUAACGCUGAGGUGUGAUGACGAGGCACUACGGUGCUGAAGUAACAAAUGCCCUGCUUCCAGGAAAAGCCUCUAAGCAUCAGGUAACAUUAAAUCGUACCCCAAACCGACACAGGUGGUCAGGUAGAGAAUACCAAGGCGCUUGAGAGAACUCGGGUGAAGGAACUAGGCAAAAUGGUGCCGUAACUUCGGGAGAAGGCACGCUGGUGUGUAGGUGAAGUCCCUGCGGAUGGAGCUGAGACCAGUCGAAGAUACCAGCUGGCUGCAACUGUUUAUUAAAAACACAGCACUGUGCAAACACGAAAGUGGACGUAUACGGUGUGACGCCUGCCCGGUGCCGGAAGGUUAAUUGAUGGGGUUAUCCGUAAGGAGAAGCUCUUGAUCGAAGCCCCGGUAAACGGCGGCCGUAACUAUAACGGUCCUAAGGUAGCGAAAUUCCUUGUCGGGUAAGUUCCGACCUGCACGAAUGGCGUAAUGAUGGCCAGGCUGUCUCCACCCGAGACUCAGUGAAAUUGAACUCGCUGUGAAGAUGCAGUGUACCCGCGGCAAGACGGAAAGACCCCGUGAACCUUUACUAUAGCUUGACACUGAACAUUGAGCCUUGAUGUGUAGGAUAGGUGGGAGGCUUUGAAGCGUGGACGCCAGUCUGCGUGGAGCCAACCUUGAAAUACCACCCUUUAAUGUUUGAUGUUCUAACGUAGGCCCCUGACCGGGGUUGCGGACAGUGUCUGGUGGGUAGUUUGACUGGGGCGGUCUCCUCCCAAAGAGUAACGGAGGAGCACGAAGGUUAGCUAAUCCUGGUCGGACAUCAGGAGGUUAGUGCAAUGGCAUAAGCUAGCUUGACUGCGAGCGUGACGGCGCGAGCAGGUGCGAAAGCAGGUCAUAGUGAUCCGGUGGUUCUGAAUGGAAGGGCCAUCGCUCAACGGAUAAAAGGUACUCCGGGGAUAACAGGCUGAUACCGCCCAAGAGUUCAUAUCGACGGCGGUGUUUGGCACCUCGAUGUCGGCUCAUCACAUCCUGGGGCUGAAGUAGGUCCCAAGGGUAUGGCUGUUCGCCAUUUAAAGUGGUACGCGAGCUGGGUUUAGAACGUCGUGAGACAGUUCGGUCCCUAUCUGCCGUGGGCGCUGGAGAAUUGAGGGGGGCUGCUCCUAGUACGAGAGGACCGGAGUGGACGCAUCACUGGUGUUCGGGUUGUCAUGCCAAUGGCACUGCCCGGUAGCUAAAUGCGGAAGAGAUAAGUGCUGAAAGCAUCUAAGCACGAAACUUGCCCCGAGAUGAGUUCUCCCUGAGACU